Oncorhynchus masou masou (cherry salmon) is the source of this 2407-nucleotide RNA transcript. It is a transcript of the gene named poly(rC)-binding protein 2-like, with no coding region annotated. The transcript is spliced from 13 exons. The record is from RefSeq and is a predicted model, not a curated record. Lineage: Eukaryota; Metazoa; Chordata; Actinopteri; Salmoniformes; Salmonidae.
AGAAGCAGCUCAGCGAGUGGAGCCCGAUCAUCAUCUCACACUUCCCUCUUCCCCGAAUCCUUUUAAAACUCUCCCCCGGGUUUCUACCCUCCCGAACCUCUCCCUUUCUACCCUCACAACCCCACCCCCUCCCCGACAACGCAUCCCAAAACACGGAUCAGAUCCAAUCUUUGUGACCAUACCCCAGUUUUGACCCAUCUGCAGCAGCUACUCUCCCAUCCAGUGGUAGUUAUGGACUCCGGUGUUAUUGAAGGAGGACUCAAUGUCACCCUGACCAUUAGAUUGCUCAUGCACGGCAAGGAAGUUGGAAGCAUUAUUGGCAAGAAAGGUGAAUCUGUGAAGAAGAUGAGAGAAGAGAGCGGAGCUCGCAUCAACAUCUCAGAGGGCAACUGUCCUGAGAGGAUCAUCACUUUGGCAGGCCCCACCACCGCCAUCUUCAAAGCGUUCUCCAUGAUCAUCGAAAAGCUGGAAGAGGACAUCAGCAGCUCCAUGACGAACAGUACGGCCACCAGCAAGCCCCCUGUCACCCUCCGUAUCGUGGUGCCAGCCAGCCAGUGUGGGUCCCUCAUUGGCAAGGGAGGCUGCAAGAUCAAAGAAAUCCGAGAGUCGACAGGUGCUCAGGUACAGGUGGCAGGGGACAUGCUUCCUAACUCUACAGAACGGGCCAUCACCAUCGCAGGGACCCCCCAGUCCAUAAUUGAGUGUGUCAAGCAAAUCUGCGUGGUUAUGCUCGAGGUAAGUUCUCCCCCUAAGGGGGUCACCAUCCCAUACCGACCAAAACCUUCAGGAUCCCCUGUCAUCUUUGCUGGAGGACAGGCGUACGCCGUUCAAGGACAACAUGCGAUACCACAGCCAGAUUCUUCCUCUAUCUCUCCACAGCUCACCAAGUUACACCAGCUGGCCAUGCAGCAGAGCCCCUUCCCAAUGGCCCCAAGCAACCAAGGAUUCCAAGGAGGGAUGGAUGCGUCUGCCCAAACUAGUUCCCAUGAGAUGACCAUUCCAAAUGAUUUGAUUGGCAGCAUCAUUGGUCGCCAGGGUGCUAAGAUCAAUGAGAUCCGCCAGAUGUCGGGUGCCCAGAUAAAGAUAGCUAACCCUGUCGAGGGCUCCGCAGACAGACAGGUCACCAUCACUGGUUCCCCCGCCUCCAUCAGCCUGGCAGAGUACCUCAUCAACGCCAGAUGAACAUGGUACCUUCAGGCAUUUGGAACUUGCUUCCAAGGAAGGAACCAGACCCUUGGAAGUCUACAAUUUGUUUCUGAGGUAUUGGCUGAUUUUCUUUCGAUUUUCCCAUGAUGUCAAGCAGAGGCACUGAGUUUGAAGGCUCUCCUCUGAAGCUACAGGACUGGCGGCCAACUGAUAGAACAGACUCUGCAUAGAUGUGAUCUGCACUAAUCCCCCCCCACAUUUUACCUUCUACCACCAAUCGAUCCAUCAGUCAGCUCUCUCCUUUUAAAGUGGUCAAUGCAACUAUCCAACUUAGUUUAUUUGUAUGAAAAUCACGCCCACCCACCUGAUUUUACUUUGAUCUGCAUUCAUUUAUGUUUUUUAUUAAGGCGCUUUGUGCCCCAGUUGGAUGUUUUUAAUGAUUUGUUCUUAGGUUCUUUUUUGUUGAAGGGAGAAAGUUUUCCAUAUCUUUCUUGACACCAUCACAAGAGUAUAGGUAGAAAAAUCUGAAUAGGUUUAGUUCGCUAAAACUUUUUGUAUUUUUUGGUUUUGAACAAAUAAAUGUCCAAACAAAAUAUACUUCUGCAUUUUUAGCCCCCCCCCCCACGAUCCUGGACCCCCUAGUAAUUUUAUCCAUUGCAGAAAUUCAAAACUCACCGUCAUUUGGUUAUGUCACUAUGCUCACAAAAUUAAAGGGGAAAUCGGUCACUGCUAGUAUUUUGGGUAUGACAAACAGCUCUAUCACUACUAGAAGACAUGGAUAUUGCAUUUGUUGAAAACAAUUUCAAACGGUAUGUAUUCAUGUCACCUUAACUUUUUUGUUUGUGUCAUUCCUAUUUUUCCACCUUCACCUUUGCCCCACCCACCUGUGUGAUCAUGUUUCUUCAAUGGAGGAAAUAUUUGUUUUACCUACCAAAGGAGAGAAACUCCUGAACUGACUGGUGUAAGUGUGCGGAGAGAAACUAAGAUAUUAUGAAUCGCUGAAACUAAGACAGGGCGAUUAAAAACAAAUGCAUUUCCUGCUCUUUGCUUUCUUUGCUCAAGUCAUAUUUAAUUUUUUAUUAUUUGCAGGAAAUAAAGUAACUUUUGUGCACGUUUUGGAAAGAAAUGUAGACAUUGGGUGCCACAACAUUGUCAAAAGAACUACAGAAAUAAAGAUGUGAAAUGCUCAAACUACAAAUUCUCGUUCUGUGUUGCGUGUGUGUAACAAUGUUCAUUGGAAAAUAAAGUUGAUGGAAGUUCA